UAAGUAGACGUGAAUCAUUGUA
This 22-nucleotide microRNA is filed under the name Callorhinchus milii (elephant shark). Its description in RNAcentral is "eshark_NOVEL_231". The record is from RNAcentral. Lineage: Eukaryota; Metazoa; Chordata; Chondrichthyes; Chimaeriformes; Callorhinchidae.